This 23-nucleotide transfer RNA is filed under the name Micrococcus luteus. RNAcentral's name for it is "tRNA-Ala". The record is from RNAcentral. Lineage: Bacteria; Bacillati; Actinomycetota; Actinomycetes; Micrococcales; Micrococcaceae.
ACAACGGUUUCUGGUACCGUCAA